AGCUCCAAUAGCGUAUAUUUAAGUUGUUGCAGUUAAAAAGCUCGUAGUUGGAUCUUGGGACGUAAAGGUCGGUCCGCCUACUCGGUGUGCACCUGCCCUUCCGUCCCUUUUGUCGGCGGCGUGCUCCUGGCCUUAAUUGGCUGGGUCGCGGUUCCGGCGCUGUUACUUUGAAAAAAUUAGAGUGCUCAAAGCAAGCUUAUGCUCUGAAUACAUUAGCAUGGAAUAACGUGAUAGGAGUCUGGUCCUAUUGUGUUGGCCUUCGGGACCGGAGUAAUGAUUAAUAGGGACUGUCGGGGGCAUUCGUAUUUCAUUGUCAGAGGUGAAAUUCUUGGAUUUAUGAAAGACGAACCACUGCGAAAGCAUUUGCCAAGGAUGUUUUCA
Molecule: ribosomal RNA, 381 nt
Filed under: uncultured eukaryote
Lineage: Eukaryota
Description: SSU rRNA
Rfam family: Eukaryotic small subunit ribosomal RNA
Source: RNAcentral